RNAcentral lists this ribosomal RNA (269 nucleotides) under uncultured archaeon. RNAcentral describes it as "partial 16S ribosomal RNA". It matches the Rfam family "Archaeal small subunit ribosomal RNA", at positions 477 to 746 of the family's 1478-position model. The record is from RNAcentral.
CUGCAGCCCGAGUGGUGAUCGAUUUUAUUGAGCCUAAAGCGUCCGUAGCCGGACUAGUAAACCCUUGGGUAAAUUGGGCAGCUUAACUGUCCAAAUUCCGAGGGGACUGCUAGUCUUGGGACCGGGAGAGGUCAGAGGUACUCAAGGGGUAGGGGCUAAAUCCUGUAAUCCUUUGGGGACCACCAGUGGCGAAGGCGUCUGACUAGAACGGAUCCGACGGUAAGGGACGAAACCCUGGGGCGCGAACCGGAUUAGAUACCCGUGUAGCC